This 468-nucleotide ribosomal RNA is filed under the name uncultured bacterium. Its description in RNAcentral is "partial 16S ribosomal RNA". It matches the Rfam family "Bacterial small subunit ribosomal RNA", at positions 28 to 507 of the family's 1533-position model. The record is from RNAcentral.
GACGAACGCUGGCGGCGUGCUUAACACAUGCAAGUCGAACGGAAAGGCCCUGCUUUGGUGGGGUGCUCGAGUGGCGAACGGGUGAGUAACACGUGAGUAACCUGCCCAUGACUUUGGGAUAACUUCAGGAAAAUGGGGCCAAUACCGGAUAGGAGAUCCUGAUGCAUGGUGGGGGUUGGAAAGUUUCGGAUGUUGGGGAUGGUUUCGUGGGUGAUCAGCUUGUUGGUGGGGUAGUGGCUUACCAACGCGUUGACGGGUAGCAGGCGUGAGAGUGUGACCGGGCACAUGGGCACUGAGAUACGGCCGAGAGCCGUACGGGAGGCAGGAGUGGGGAAGAUUGCAUGAUGGGGGGACGCCUGAUGCGUGAAGGCCGCGUGCGGGAUGACGGGCUCUGGGGUGUAAGACGCAUGGUCCUGAGAGGAAGCGUGAGUGACGGUAACUGGUAAGGAAGCACCGGCUAACUACGUG